This 164-nucleotide unclassified non-coding RNA is filed under the name uncultured Dothideomycetes. RNAcentral describes it as "sequence contains ITS2". Lineage: Eukaryota; Fungi; Ascomycota; Dothideomycetes. The record is from RNAcentral.
CAACCUCUCAAGCUCUGCUUGGUAUUGGGCAUUGUUACAUCUUUUAAUUAAAAGUAACAAGUCUUAAAUGUAGGCAGCGGCAAGUACUAGUUCCGAGCGUAGCAGUAAAACAUUUCGCUUUAGGAGUUUAGUAUAUUGUCAGCUAAAUAGUUAGUCUUACUAUU